GGUAUACCGGAAGGUGUACCUGGAAUUAAU
RNAcentral lists this ribosomal RNA (30 nucleotides) under Deiratonotus kaoriae. RNAcentral's name for it is "partial 12S ribosomal RNA". Lineage: Eukaryota; Metazoa; Arthropoda; Malacostraca; Decapoda; Camptandriidae. The record is from RNAcentral.